GGACCACUGCCUGAGAGAGUAGCAGGUGUGCUGCGGAAGCUGGAAUUGCUCUGGAGUAGCUAUACCUGUCAACAAUCCGUAGCCCAGAGGUGCACAGCUUCAACUAUGGAAUCCUUCGACGUUGCUUCAACUGGAAGCAAAUUCACAAGUUCUAUGAACUUCUGCAUGACUGUUGGAAAUCAAAAAAGAUGGAGGUCCUAGACAUUAUGCCACCAUUUCCACUAAUGGACGACGACCCUUUUAUGGAUCCUGCUCCAUCUGAGGCUGUUUUCCCUGAUGUACAGGAAGAGUCGUGAUCAAUGACGCUGUCCAGGAACUUCGCAGCCAAGAGCAGCUUCUUCCUCUAGGCAUUGUUUAAUACCUCAGCUGGCGAUCAAAGACACUUCACUGCUCCUUGUAACACAGUGUAACCCUUUUCCAUAUCCUGAAUAGAGUAC
Lemur catta (Ring-tailed lemur) is the source of this 437-nucleotide long non-coding RNA. RefSeq lists it as uncharacterized. The record is from RefSeq and is a predicted model, not a curated record. Lineage: Eukaryota; Metazoa; Chordata; Mammalia; Primates; Lemuridae. The transcript is spliced from 4 exons.